GAGUUUGAUCAUGGCUCAGGAUGAACGCUGGCGGCGUGCUUAACACAUGCAAGUCGAACGGUGAAGCCAAGCUUGCUUGGUGGAUCAGUAGCGAACGGGUGAGUAACACGUGAGCAACCUGCCCUGGACUCUGGGAUAAGCGCUGGAAACGGCGUCUAAUACUGGAUAUGAGACGUGAUCGCAUGGUCGUGUUUGGAAAGUAUUUUUCGGUCUGGGAUGGGCUCGCGGCCUAUCAGCUUGUUGGUGAGGUAAUGGCUCACCAAGGCGUCGACGGGUAGCCGGCCUGAGAGGGUGACCGGCCACACUGGGACUGAGACACGGCCCAGACUCCUACGGGAGGCAGCAGUGGGGAAUAUGCACAAUGGGGCGAAGCCUGAUGCAGCAACGCCGCGUGAGGGAUGACGGCC
RNAcentral lists this ribosomal RNA (407 nucleotides) under uncultured bacterium. Its description in RNAcentral is "bacterial SSU rRNA". It matches the Rfam family "Bacterial small subunit ribosomal RNA", at positions 9 to 416 of the family's 1533-position model. The record is from RNAcentral.